UUCUAUUGUCCUAUUUACUAAAUUUUCUUGUUUGAUACAGGCCCCUUCUCUGAAGAGGCCACUAGAAAUUGGUAAACUGGAUGAUGGUCUUUACAGGCUUGUGCAAUCUUCUCUUUCUACUCCCUCUCAAUACUAUACUCCUUGUAAUUACCAUUCUCCAUUAGCUGUUGCUUCUGUUUCUUCCUCUCAUUGUACAUACCAUUCUGAAUUGAAUAAAAUGGAGAUAUUAUGAUUGUACAUACCAUUCUGAAUUGAAUAAAAUGGAUAUAUUAUGGCAUAACAGACUAGGGCACAUUCCUUUUGUUAGAAUGAAAGACAUUUCUUCUAUUCCAUGUAAAUUUGCAAAUAAACAGCCUUUUAUAUGUACUAUUUGCCCAUUAGCAAGACAGUCUAGAUUGCCCUUUCCUGAAAGUUCUAUAAAAACAACACAUCCUUUUCAGCACAUCAUACCUGGGGUCCUUAUGCCACUACCACCCAUAAUGGGUGCAAAUAUUUUGUAACAAUA
Molecule: long non-coding RNA, 505 nt
Filed under: Nicotiana benthamiana
Lineage: Eukaryota; Viridiplantae; Streptophyta; Magnoliopsida; Solanales; Solanaceae
Description: long non-coding RNA (NBEN_LNC012182)
Source: RNAcentral